CAUAACCUUACUCAAUUAAACUUGAAAAUACAAGGUGUAGGCUCCUCCUUUUAUAGGCUAAGGAGGACCAUAAUGCAACCCUAAUGCUAGCCAAAUGAAAUGUAAAUGUGAAGCACAUUGGUGCACAUGGCACAUGGGUGCACAAAUGAGCACAUGGGGAGGGGUGUGUCUAGUUUUUAUGCUCACCCCCUCCAUGGGCUUUCUAGACCGGCCUUGGUAAAUUUAGAGGUUUUUUUAGAAACUCUAAGUUUACCUAGGUUGGUGUUUUAGGUGCCAAAAUUAAUUCUAAGAAAAUUACAAAUAAAGUUCCUAUGCUAAUUUUGACAAGAAAUUAAAGUCUACUCUACACUAGAGUUUAUGGCAUUUGAACAUGUAAAAGAACGUCUUCUUGGAUCCUCUUGGCCAUAACUCUAUGGUUGGCCCAAAUCUACCCUUUGGUGGGCUUGCAUGUGGGCUUGUGCUUGGGCCUCUUCCAUCAUCCCCUCCCUCUUGAAAAGGAUUUGUCCUCAAAUCCAAUACUUUUGCUUCCUAGGGGAUGGUUGUGGCUGGAUGGUGUCCAUCAUCUCCUCCUUCUUUGAGAAGAUCUAUCCUCAGAUCUUCAGGCUUGAUCUCGGAUAGCAGCCUCUUGCUUCGCCAGAGCUUGUCCUCCUGGAUCAAACGUCCACCUAUAGAAAUAAUCAAAUAAGGCAUAGGUGUUAGUUUGCAAAUUAAUUUUACUAGGUUGCCAUUUUUGUUUGUCUUUUGGUUUUGGCAACUUUGGACAAAGUUUAUCUUUUAAUGGUUGUGUGUGGUCUCUAAUCAUCUUAUGUAUUUUAAAAUGUUUAUUUGUGGUUACCUUCUCUUUAGGCAUAAAUCCUAUAGGAGAUGGUAACAACUUAAAAGGAGAAAGAUGAUUUAGCACACACAUAACUUUAAAAGUAGAAAUAUAAGUAGUUUUGU
RNAcentral lists this long non-coding RNA (939 nucleotides) under Phaseolus vulgaris (common bean). RNAcentral's name for it is "long non-coding RNA (PVUL_LNC000674)". Lineage: Eukaryota; Viridiplantae; Streptophyta; Magnoliopsida; Fabales; Fabaceae. The record is from RNAcentral.